This 374-nucleotide ribosomal RNA is filed under the name uncultured organism. RNAcentral's name for it is "partial 16S ribosomal RNA". It matches the Rfam family "Bacterial small subunit ribosomal RNA", at positions 527 to 896 of the family's 1533-position model. The record is from RNAcentral.
GUAGGUGGCAAGCGUUGUCCGGGAAUUAUUGGGGCGUAAAGCGCGCGCAGGCGGUUCUUUAAGUCUGAUGUGAAAGCCCACGGCUCAACCGUGGAGGGUCAUUGGAAACUGGAGAACUUGAGUACAGAAGAGGAAAGCGGAAUUCCACGUGUAGCGGUGAAAUGCGUAGAGAUGUGGAGGAACACCAGUGGCGAAGGCGGCUUUCUGGUCUGUAACUGACGCUGAGGCGCGAAAGCGUGGGGAGCAAACAGGAUUAGAUACCCUGGUAGUCCACGCCGUAAACGAUGAGUGCUAAGUGUUAGGGGGUUUCCGCCCCUUAGUGCUGCAGCUAACGCAUUAAGCACUCCGCCUGGGGAGUACGGCCGCAAAGGCUG